Molecule: ribosomal RNA, 253 nt
Filed under: uncultured bacterium
Lineage: Bacteria
Description: partial 16S ribosomal RNA
Rfam family: Bacterial small subunit ribosomal RNA
Source: RNAcentral
UACGUAGGGACCGAGCGUUGUCCGGAUUCAUUGGGCGUAAAGAGCUCGUAGGCGGCUGCUCAAGUCGAAUGUGAAAACUCGAGGCUCAACCUCGAGCCUGCAUUCGAUACUGGGCGGCUAGAGUCUGGUAGGGGGAUCUGGAAUUCCUGGUGUAGCGGUGGAAUGCGCAGAUAUCAGGAGGAACACCGGUGGCGAAGGCGGGUCUCUGGGCCGAUAUUGACGCUGAGGAGCGAAAGCGUGGGGAGCGAACAGG